RNAcentral lists this ribosomal RNA (497 nucleotides) under uncultured bacterium. Its description in RNAcentral is "partial 16S ribosomal RNA". It matches the Rfam family "Bacterial small subunit ribosomal RNA", at positions 28 to 507 of the family's 1533-position model. The record is from RNAcentral.
GAUGAACGCUGGCGGCGUGCCUAAUACAUGCCAGUCGAGCGAACAGAUAAGGAGCUUGCUCCUCUGACGUUAGCGGCGGACGGGUGAGUAACACGUGGAUAACCUACCUAUAAGACUGGGAUAACUUCGGGAAACCGGAGCUAAUACCGGAUAAUAUAUUGAACCGCAUGGUUCAAUAGUGAAAGACGGUUUUGCUGUCACUUAUAGAUGGAUCCGCGCCGCAUUAGCUAGUUGGUAAGGUAACGGCUUACCAAGGCAACGAUGCGUAGCCGACCUGAGAGGGUGAUCGGCCACACUGGAACUGAGACACGGUCCAGACUCCUACGGGAGGCAGCAGUAGGGAAUCUUCCGCAAUGGGCGAAAGCAUGACGGAGCAACGCCGCGUGAGUGAUGAAGGUCUUCGGAUCGUAAAACUCUGUUAUUAGGGAAGAACAAAUGUGUAAGUAACUAUGCACGUCUUGACGGUACCUAAUCAGAAAGCCACGGCUAACUACGUG